UACGUAGGGCGCGAGCGUUGUCCGGAAUUAUUGGGCGUAAAGAGCUCGUAGGUGGCUUGUUGCGUCUGCCGUGAAAGCCCGUGGCUUAACUACGGGUCUGCGGUGGAUACGGGCAGGCUAGAGGCUGGUAGGGGCAAGCGGAAUUCCUGGUGUAGCGGUGAAAUGCGCAGAUAUCGGGAAGAACACCCGUGGCGAAGGCGGCUCUCUGGGACGGUACUGACGCUGAGACGCGAAAGCGUGGGGAGCGAACAGG
RNAcentral lists this ribosomal RNA (253 nucleotides) under uncultured bacterium. Its description in RNAcentral is "partial 16S ribosomal RNA". It matches the Rfam family "Bacterial small subunit ribosomal RNA", at positions 524 to 776 of the family's 1533-position model. The record is from RNAcentral.